Molecule: ribosomal RNA, 578 nt
Filed under: fungal sp. A71233_A06_1405001922G
Lineage: Eukaryota; Fungi
Description: eukaryotic LSU rRNA
Rfam family: 5.8S ribosomal RNA (bases 198-351)
Source: RNAcentral
GGGAAAAAGGGGUGAGACUCCCACCCAUGUGACUUACCUUUGUGUGGCUCCGCAGAAGCUGCUCGGUAUACCCUACCUUGCAGCGGCCUACCCUGUAACGCCUUACCCUGGAACGGCUUCCCCUGCAACGGCUGCCGGUGGACUACCAUUCUCUUGUUAUUUUAUUGGAAUCUGACCGCCUUAUUUUACUAAGUCAAAACUUUCAACAACGGAUCUCUUGGUUCUGGCAUCAAUGAACAACGCUUCGAAAUGCCAUUGCUCCCGUGAAUUGCCUAAUUCGCUGGAUCGUCCAAUCUUUGAACGCACAUUGCGCCCAUUAUUAUUCUAGGGAAUCUGCCUGUUCAAGCGUCAUUUCCCCCCUUAACCCUAGCUUAUUGUUGGGAGCCUACUGCUUUUGCAAUUUGUAUCUCCUGAAAUACAACGGCGGAUCUGCCAUAUCCUCUGACCGUAAUAUUUUUUAGCUCGAUUUUGACUGGAGUUGCAGCGCCUUUAGCCGCUAAACCCCCCAAUUUUUAAUGGUUGACCUCGGAUCAGGUAGGAAUACCCGCUGAACUUAAGCAUAUCAAUAAGCGGAGGAA